AGGGAUAUAGCUCAGUGGUAGAAUAUCGGCUUCAUAUGCAGAAAGUCCCAGGUUCAAUCCCCAGCAUCUCCA
This is a non-coding RNA of Podarcis lilfordi (Lilford's wall lizard), 72 nucleotides long. The record is from the annotation of a GenBank genome assembly. NCBI's taxonomy places the organism in Eukaryota, Metazoa, Chordata, Lepidosauria, Squamata, Lacertidae.